Molecule: ribosomal RNA, 616 nt
Filed under: Hohenbuehelia unguicularis
Lineage: Eukaryota; Fungi; Basidiomycota; Agaricomycetes; Agaricales; Pleurotaceae
Description: eukaryotic LSU rRNA
Rfam family: Eukaryotic large subunit ribosomal RNA
Source: RNAcentral
CAAAUCAGGUAGGACUACCCGCUGAACUUAAGCAUAUCAAUAAGCGGAGGAAAAGAAACUAACAAGGAUUCCCCUAGUAACUGCGAGUGAAGCGGGAAAAGCUCAAAUUUGUAAUCUGGCGGUCUUUGGCCGUCCGAAUUGUAAACUAGAGAAGUGCUAUCCGCGCUGGACCGUGUACAAGUCCCCUGGAAUGGGGCGUCAUAGAGGGUGAGAAUCCCGUCUUUGACACGGACUACCAGGGCUUUGUGAUGCGCUCUCAACGAGUCGAGUUGUUUGGGAAUGCAGCUCAAAAUGGGUGGUAAAUUCCAUCUAAAGCUAAAUAUUGGCGAGAGACCGAUAGCGAACAAGUACCGUGAGGGAAAGAUGAAAAGAACUUUGGAAAGAGAGUUAAACAGUACGUGAAAUUGCUGAAAGGGAAACGCUUGAAGUCAGUCGCGUUGGCUAGGGAUCAACCUUGCUUCUGCAUGGUGUACUUCCUUGUUGACGGGUCAGCAUCAGUUUUGGCUGCUGGAUAAAGAUCAGAGGAAUGUGGCAUCUUCGGAUGUGUUAUAGCCUUUGGUCAGAUACAGUGGCUGGGACUGAGGAACUCAGCACGCGCAAGCUGUGCUUAGGAUGC